GAUAGUGACAGUGACGCUUUCAAAUUUUGUAUAUGUUCAAAUUCACCUUUUCAACUUCUUCAACGCGUCUGUUGAACUUUUUCUAAAGGUUUGAGGAUAUGUGAGUGAUGACAGAUUUACAGGCGCCGAAAGGAAUCCGUAUGACUAUGCAGCAGAGGGAAGUCUCGCUUCGCUUUAUACAAGUACAUGAAAAUUUUACAGAAAAAAGAAGAAUGCUCGCUGUUGAAUCUUCUUUUGGCAAUAUAGGAAAGGCAAGGCAAUUGCUGUUGAGAAUGCAGCCAUUGCGAAUACUAUGAAAAUGCUACAAGAUGUCGUGAAGAUGUGGGCUGGAGAAGGAGUGACGUUUUUUAUUCAAUUUUGUUUAAUAUAAUGUUUAUAAUAAUGUUUAGAACAACUUUUUUAGAAUUACUUGUUACUCUAUUAAAAC
This is a long non-coding RNA of Sitophilus oryzae (rice weevil), 427 nucleotides long. RefSeq lists it as uncharacterized. NCBI's taxonomy places the organism in Eukaryota, Metazoa, Arthropoda, Insecta, Coleoptera, Curculionidae. The transcript is spliced from 3 exons. The record is from RefSeq and is a predicted model, not a curated record.